AUACAAUGAUGAUAACAUAGUUCAGCAGACUAAAAGUGAUGAAUAGUGCUAAGUCUUUCGCUCCUAUCUGAUGUAUCU
Molecule: small nucleolar RNA, 78 nt
Filed under: Dasypus novemcinctus (nine-banded armadillo)
Lineage: Eukaryota; Metazoa; Chordata; Mammalia; Cingulata; Dasypodidae
Description: Small nucleolar RNA SNORD77 (ENSDNOG00000028371.2)
Rfam family: Small nucleolar RNA snR60/Z15/Z230/Z193/J17
About the family: The members of this family belong to the C/D class of snoRNAs which contain the C (UGAUGA) and D (CUGA) box motifs. Most of the members of the box C/D family function in directing site-specific 2'-O-methylation of substrate RNAs. The family includes the yeast snoRNA snR60 (also known as Z15) and the corresponding human guide snoRNA U80 (SNORD80).
Source: RNAcentral